Molecule: unclassified non-coding RNA, 403 nt
Filed under: soil metagenome
Description: partial contains 5.8S ribosomal RNA, internal transcribed spacer 2, and large subunit ribosomal RNA
Rfam family: 5.8S ribosomal RNA (bases 1-121)
Source: RNAcentral
GAUGAAGAACGCAGCGAAAUGUGAUACUUGGUGUGAAUUGCAGAAUCCCGUGAACCAUCGAGUUUUUGAACGCACCUUGCGCCCUUUGGCUAUUCCGAAGGGCAUGCCUGUUUGAGUAUCAUGAACACCUCAACUCUUCACGGCUUGCCGUGAUGAGUUUGGACUUUGGGGGUCUUGCUGGCCUACGAGCCAGCUCCUCUCAAAUGUAUUAGCUUGCCGGUGUUUGGUGGCAUCACAGGUGUGAUAACUAUCUACGCUUGUGGUUUUCCACUAGGUAACCUUCAGCAAUGGAGGUUCACCGGAGCUCACAAAUGUCUCUCCUUGCCAAGGACAGAUUUUGACCAUUUGAUCUCAAAUCAGGUAGGACUACCCGCUGAACUUAAGCAUAUCAAUAAGCGGAGGA